UACGAAGGGGGGCUAGCGUUGCUCGGAAUCACUGGGCGUAAAGCGCACGUAGGCGGCUUUCUAAGUCAGGGGUGAAAUCCUGGGGCUCAACCUCAGAAUUGCCUCCGAUACUGGCAGUCUCGAGUGCGGGAGAGGUGAGUGGAAUUCCCAGUGUAGAGGUGAAAUUCGUAGAUAUUGGGAAGAACACCAGUGGCGAAGGCGGCUCACUGGCCCGUAACUGACGCUGAGGUGCGAAAGCGUGGGGAGCAAACAGG
RNAcentral lists this ribosomal RNA (254 nucleotides) under uncultured bacterium. RNAcentral's name for it is "partial 16S ribosomal RNA". It matches the Rfam family "Bacterial small subunit ribosomal RNA", at positions 524 to 776 of the family's 1533-position model. The record is from RNAcentral.